GAGAGAGGCUCGUUAGCAACGAAUACUGCUAAUCUA
RNAcentral lists this transfer RNA (36 nucleotides) under Sciaenops ocellatus (red drum). RNAcentral's name for it is "partial tRNA-Ser". The record is from RNAcentral. Lineage: Eukaryota; Metazoa; Chordata; Actinopteri; Sciaenidae.